RNAcentral lists this transfer RNA (65 nucleotides) under Pseudocuneopsis capitata. RNAcentral describes it as "Cuneopsis capitatus tRNA-Asn". The record is from RNAcentral. Lineage: Eukaryota; Metazoa; Mollusca; Bivalvia; Unionida; Unionidae.
AAGGAAGAAGCUACAAUUAGCAAUUAGUUGUUACCUAAUAGAUAGUGAGUAUUUCACCUGCCUUA